Molecule: long non-coding RNA, 1063 nt
Filed under: Gossypium barbadense (sea-island cotton)
Lineage: Eukaryota; Viridiplantae; Streptophyta; Magnoliopsida; Malvales; Malvaceae
Description: long non-coding RNA (GBAR_LNC019425)
Source: RNAcentral
ACACCCAGCACCUUAGGGUAUGUUUUCUCGAAUUUCCAAACGCAAAACAUUGCCUUAUUUUAAAAUUUUUAAAAGGGUAUUAAGCCAUUUGGUUGAACGAGAAAAAUCGACACCCAGCACCUUAGGGCAUGUUUUCUCGAAUUUCCAAACGCAAAACAUUGCCUUAUUUGAAAAAAAAUUCGUUUUUGAAGUAUGGUGUUAAUAUGCAUAAUGGAAUAAUAAAUAUGAUAAUGUGAACAAAAGUAAUAUGAGCAAAACGAAUAAUAAAAAAAUAAAUCAAUCAUAUAUAUAUCACAACAAAUAAAUAAAUAAAAAAUAAACUAAAACAUAAUGUAAUACCAAUUAUUUGCCUGGCCCUACCGAUAAUAAAAUACAAUAGCAGGCCCAAUAAAAUUAAAACCCAAUACCCAAUUGACCCCAGCCCAAGACCCAAUCAUUAACCCAAAACCCAGCCCAAAAAAAAAACAACAUCAGCAGAAACCCUAAAGCAGCAUUUGCCAGUAGCCGCCGCAGCUCCCCCGCCUUCAGCGCCUCCAGCAGCAUCCGGACGCCGCAAGUUUCGGCAUCCACGCAUGCCAAACUCUCCACGCACCUACAAACACGGACUCAGAGAGUCCAUUAGCGAAAAUAUAGUAAAACAAAUAAGUUUUUAGGCUAUAUAAAGCCAUAUAUUUUGUAACAAAAGGGGGGGAUUUUCAGUGAGAAAAGAUACAAGAAAUAGCAAAGAAAUACAGAGAAAAUUUAUUUUUCGAAGGUUUUUACUUUGUUCAUCGUUUCUUUUUGUAUAUAUGUAUAUUAUUUUUCCUUUUAUUUUCGUUUUAUUUUACCUAAAAUAACAAAAAAAAAGAAAGGAAAAGACUUAUCUUUAGCCGGAACCGUUGAAUCGUCCCCCUCCGUCGCAAUCGGAGGUCGGGGCGUCGUCGGAGGCCGUGGUGUGGCUCGCACGGCGGCGGCGGCAUGGAAGAAACCCUAGCAGAGGGUUUCUCUGCUAUCUCUUAAAAAAAGGGGUAGAAAAACUGAAUUUUGGUGGAAAUUUUGGUGUUUUAUAAGUAAGUAAAACGAC